CAACUCUUAGCGGUGGAUCACUUGGCUCGUGCGUCGAUGAAGAACGCAGCUAGCUGCGAGAAUUAAUGUGAUUUGCAGGACACAUUGAUCAU
Molecule: ribosomal RNA, 92 nt
Filed under: Siganus lineatus (golden-lined spinefoot)
Lineage: Eukaryota; Metazoa; Chordata; Actinopteri; Siganidae
Description: partial 5.8S rRNA
Rfam family: 5.8S ribosomal RNA
About the family: 5.8S ribosomal RNA (5.8S rRNA) is a component of the large subunit of the eukaryotic ribosome. It is transcribed by RNA polymerase I as part of the 45S precursor that also contains 18S and 28S rRNA.
Source: RNAcentral